This 253-nucleotide ribosomal RNA is filed under the name uncultured bacterium. RNAcentral describes it as "partial 16S ribosomal RNA". It matches the Rfam family "Bacterial small subunit ribosomal RNA", at positions 524 to 776 of the family's 1533-position model. The record is from RNAcentral.
UACAGAGGUCUCAAGCGUUGUUCGGAUUCAUUGGGCGUAAAGGGCGCGUAGGCUGCGGGGCAAGUCGGUCGUGAAAUCCCUCGGCUCAACUGAGGAGCGUCGAUCGAAACUGCCGUUCUUGAGGGUUGCAGAGGAGACUGGAAUUCCCGGUGUAGCGGUGAAAUGUGUAGAGAUCGGGAGGAACACCGGUGGCGAAGGCGGGUCUCUGGGCAACUCCUGACGCUGAGGCGCGAAAGCGUGGGGAGCGAACAGG